AUGAACGCUGGCGGCGUGCCUAAUACAUGCAAGUCGAGCGAACGGACGAGAAGCUUGCUUCUCUGAUGUUAGCGGCGGACGGGUGAGUAACACGUGGAUAACCUACCUAUAAGACUGGGAUAACUUCGGGAAACCGGAGCUAAUACCGGAUAAUAUUUUGAACCGCAUGGUUCAAAAGUGAAAGACGGUCUUGCUGUCUCUUAUAGAUGGAUCCGCGCUGCAUUAGCUAGUUGGUAAGGUAACGGCUUACCAAGGCAACGAUGCAUAGCCGACCUGAGAGGGUGAUCGGCCACACUGGAACUGAGACACGGUCCAGACUCCUACGGGAGGCAGCAGUAGGGAAUCUUCCGCAAUGGGCGAAAGCCUGACGGAGCAACGCCGCGUGAGUGAUGAAGGCCUUCGGAUCGUAAAACUCUGUUAUUAGGGAAGAACAUAUGUGUAAGUAACUGUGCACAUCUUGACGGUACCUAAUCAGAAAGCCACGGCUAACUACGUG
RNAcentral lists this ribosomal RNA (496 nucleotides) under uncultured bacterium. RNAcentral describes it as "partial 16S ribosomal RNA". It matches the Rfam family "Bacterial small subunit ribosomal RNA", at positions 29 to 507 of the family's 1533-position model. The record is from RNAcentral.